GCGGCGAAGGGAGAGUAACGCGUAGAUAUCUGCCUCGAGGCCCGGGAUAGCGGCGGGAAACUGCCGGUAAUACCGGAUAACAUCUCCGGAUCAAAGGUGUGAUUCCGCCUCGAGAUGAGUCUGCGUCCUAUUAAUGCUUGUUGGUGUGGUAACGGCGCACCAAGGCGUAGAUGGGUACCGGGUGUGAGAGCAUGGCCCGGCUCACUGGGACUGAGACACUGCCCAGACACCUACGGGUGGCUGCAGUCGAGAAUCUUCGGCAAUGGGCGAAAGCCUGACCGAGCGACGCCGCGUGCGGGAUGAAGGCCCUCGGGUUGUAAACCGCUGUCAGUAGGGAGCAAAUCUCUUGGGGUUAUCCCCUUGAGUUGAGCGAUCUUCAGAGGAAGUACGGGCUAAGUUCGUGCCAGCAGCCGCGGUAAGACGAACCGUCCAAACGUUAUUCGGAAUCACUGGGCUUAAAGGGUGCGUAGGCGGCUUGGCAAGUUGGGUGUGAAAUCCCUCGGCUCAACCGAGGAACUGCGCUCAAAACUGCCAAGCUAGGGGAAGAUAGAGGUGAGCGGAACUAAUGGUGGAGCGGUGAAAUGCGUUGAUAUCAUCAGGAACACCAGAGGCGAAGGCGGCUCACUGGGUCCUUUCUGACGCUGAGGGAGGAAAGCUAGGGGAGCAAACGGGAUGAGAUACCCCGGUAGUCCUAGCUGUAAACGAUGAGCACUAGAUCGAGGGGACUUCCACAUCUUCUCGGUCGUAGCGAAAGUGUUAGUGCUCCGCCUGGGGGAGUAUGGUCGCAAGGGCUGAAAC
Molecule: ribosomal RNA, 798 nt
Filed under: uncultured bacterium
Lineage: Bacteria
Description: bacterial SSU rRNA
Rfam family: Bacterial small subunit ribosomal RNA
Source: RNAcentral